RNAcentral lists this ribosomal RNA (2148 nucleotides) under Gardnerella vaginalis. Its description in RNAcentral is "bacterial LSU rRNA". It matches the Rfam family "Bacterial large subunit ribosomal RNA", at positions 1 to 2016 of the family's 2925-position model. The record is from RNAcentral. Lineage: Bacteria; Bacillati; Actinomycetota; Actinomycetes; Bifidobacteriales; Bifidobacteriaceae.
CUGGUAAGGGCGUAUGGUGGAUGCCUUGGUAGACAGGACCGAUGAAGGACGUGACGGGCUGCGAUAUGCCUCGGGGAGCUGCCGAGUGGGCUUUGAUCCGAGGAUUUCCGAAUGGGGAGACCCGGCCACUGUUAUGGGUGGUCACCACAGUUUUUGUGGGGGGUACGCAGGGAAGUGAAACAUCUCAGUACCUGCAGGAAAGGAUACUCCGUGAGUAGUGGCGAGCGAAAGCGGAUCAGGCUAAACCGAGUACGUGUGAUAACCGUCAGGUGUUGCGUAUUCGGGGUCGUGGGAUUGACUGUUCAGCCUCUGACGGGGUUGAGAAGAGUGAUAAAAUGUCGUGUUAUGUGAAUGGGAUUGAAUUCCCAGCCGUAGAGGGUGAUGGCCCCGUAGCAGGUUGCGCGAUGUCUUUUUAUGUUUAUUCCCAAGUAGCGCGGGCCUCGUGGAAUCCCGCGUGAAUCUGCCCAGACCGUUGGGUAAGCCUAAGUAUUCCUGUCUGACCGAUAGUGUACUAGUACCGUGAGGGAAAGGUGAAAAGCACCCCGGGAGGGGAGUGAAAUAGUUCCUGAAACCGUGCGCUUACAAUCCGUCGGAGCCUUCUUUGUGGGGUGACGGCGUGCCUAUCGAAAAAUGAGUCUGCGAGUCAGUGGUAUGUGGCGAGGCUAACCCGGGUGGGGGAGCCGUAGCGAAAGCGAGUUUUAAAAGGCGUUUUAGUCGCAUGUCCUGGACCCGAAGCGGGAUGAUCUAGCCCUGAGCAGGUUGAAGCGCGGGUAAGACCGUGUGGAGGACCGAACCCACCUAGGUUGAAAACUGGGGGGAUGACUUGGGGUUAGGGGUGAAAGGCCAAUCAAAUUCCGUGAUAGCUGGUUCUCUCCGAAAUGCAUUUAGGUGCAGCGUCAUGUUAUUGCUUGCAGGGGGUAGAGCUACUGGAUGCUUGCGGGCCCAUACCGGGUACUAAUAGCAGCCAAACUCCGAAUACCUGUUAGGUUUAUCAUGGCAGUGAGUCGGCGGGGGAUAAGCUCCGUCGUCAAAAGGGAAACAGCCCUGAUCGUCGUCUAAGGUCCCGAAGCGCGUGCUAAGUGGGAAAGGAUGUGGAGUCGCAUAGACAGCCAGGAGGUUGGCUCAGAAGCAGCCAUCCUUGAAAGAGUGCGUAACAGCUCACUGGUCUAGUGGUUCCGCGCCGACAAUGUAGCGGGGCUUAAGCACGCCACCGAAGACGCGACUGCAUGAUUUAGUUCAUGUGGGGUAGGAGAGCGUCCUGUAUGGGGUGAAGCGGCAGUGUGAACUUGUCGUGGACUAUACGGGAGUGAGAAUGCAGACAUGAGUAGCGAGAGACAGGUGUGAAUCCUGUCCGCUGAAUGACUAAGGGUUCCGGGGCCACGUUCGUCGUCCCCGGGUGAGUCGAGUCCUAAGGCGAGGCCGACAGGCGUAGUCGAAUGGAUGAACGGGUUGAUAUUCCCGUACCGGUGUUACACCGUUCGAACUGAAUCUGAGAGUACUAACCUUCGUUAUUCUGGUUGAUUAUCUUUCGGGGUUUUCUUCUGGUUUAGUGUUGGGACUGUAUCGGUAGUAGGUUAGCGUGGGAGUGACGCGGGUAGGUAGCCGGCUGCGGAGGUGGUUUUCCGUGGCUAAGCGUGUGGGCUGUCCUCUAGGUAAAUCCGGGGGAUGUUAAGCUGAGGCGUGAUGGGUAGGCUGUAAGGCUGAUUCCGGUGAUCCUGCUUGCCGAGAAAAGCUUCAACGUGAGGUGUGAUUCCGCUCGUACCCUAAACCGACACUGGUGGUCUGGUAGAGUAUACCAAAGCGAUCGGGCGAAUCCUGGCCAAGGAACUCGGCAAAUUACUCCCGUGCCUUCGGCAUAAGGGAGACCCCUGAUGGUGAUAUGGUUUCACAUUGUUGAGCUGUUGGGGGUGGCACAAGCUAGGGGGUAGCGACUGUUUACCAAAAACACAGGAGCGUGCGAAGGCGUAAGCCGCUGUAUACGCUCUGACGCCUGCCCGGUGCCGGAAGGUUAAGAGGAUCCGUUAGCUUCGGUGAAGCGGUGAAUUUAAGCCCCGGUAAACGGCGGUGGUAACUAUAACCAUCCUAAGGUAGCGAAAUUCCUUGUCGGGUAAGUUCCGACCUGCACGAAUGGCGUAACGACUUCCCCAC